Molecule: long non-coding RNA, 106 nt
Organism: Nematolebias whitei (Rio pearlfish)
Lineage: Eukaryota; Metazoa; Chordata; Actinopteri; Cyprinodontiformes; Rivulidae
Exons: 3
Source: RefSeq, a predicted model, not a curated record
CAGGAAAGGCAGUCCAAGGAGUGAAACCAACACCAGGAAAGGCAGUCCAAGGAGUGAAACCAGCACCAGGAAAAGCAGUCCAAGGAGUGAAACCAGCACCAGGUAA